AUUGAACGCUGGCGGCAUGCUUUACACAUGCAAGUCGAACGGCAGCGAGGAGAAGCUUGCUUCUCUGUCGGCGAGUGGCGCACGGGUGAGUAUAGCAUCGGAACGUGCCAAGUAGUGGGGGAUAACCAAACGAAAGUUUGGCUAAUACCGCGUAAGCUCUAAGGAGGAAAGUAGGGGACCUAAAUAAGGCCUUACGCUAUUUGAUCGGCCGAUGUCGGAUUAGCUAGUUGGUGGGGUAAUGGCUCACCAAGGCAAUGAUCCGUAGCGGGUCUGAGAGGACGAUCCGCCACACUGGGACUGAGACACGGCCCAGACUCCUACGGGAGGCAGCAGUGGGGAAUUUUGGACAAUGGGGGAAACCCUGAUCCAGCCAUGCCGCGUGUAUGAAGAAGGCCUUAGGGUUGUAAAGUACUUUUGUUAGGGAAGAAAAGCUAGUUUUUAAUAAAAAUUAGUGAUGACGGUACCUAAAGAAUAAGCACCGGCUAACUACGUG
This 493-nucleotide ribosomal RNA is filed under the name uncultured bacterium. RNAcentral describes it as "partial 16S ribosomal RNA". It matches the Rfam family "Bacterial small subunit ribosomal RNA", at positions 30 to 507 of the family's 1533-position model. The record is from RNAcentral.